GAACAUCAUAUUCUUCUAUUGUUGCUUUCGCAAAUUCUUCUCUCCUUCCUUUCUUUCUUUCUAGCUUUCUUUGCUCCUGCUGCUCCUCCGCCUCGGCGUCGUCCCUCCGUGCUCUCCCUCCUCCUCGGCUUCCCGACAUCUCCCAUAAUUCUUUCUAGCGCCAUAUUGUUUUCGAGUCCUUGACUGUUUGGUUGUUGUUCUGUUCAGUAAAGUUUUCACUUCAAGAGGGUCAGUACAUAUCCACAUGGUGGAUUUGUUCCCGCUUCGUAUGAUUUCGGGUUAUUAAAACUGCUGCCCCCUGACUAGAUUUCCGGGAAAGAUUCCCCGUGGGGGUUGUGUGUUUCGGUUUCCGGUUAAAAUAGGUAGAUUAGUUAUUCUUGUUACCAAUUAGCAACAGCCCACCUCUCUCUCGUUCUGGGGUUUUAGUGGGCGGUUUAACGGGGGGGGUGUGAAAUCACACUCUGCUGGACUUGGAAAUCAAGAAUUCAGGGUCCUUCUGAUCCAUUUGUCUUUCUGGGUUGGUGAGUUCGGGGUCUUUCUUUUGGGUUUGGUGCUUCAUCUGGCAUUUCUUGAGUUGUGGGUGUGUGUUCUUGGCUAGAGGUAAGAGCGCCCUCCCCCUCCCCCACCUUCCUUCCUUGUUCCUUUUUUUUUUUUUUUUAACAAAUCUGGUCACUCUUCUGAUUUGGCCCUUUUAAGUACUUGUUGCUGAGCUGGGUUGAGUCCCUGUUGUGGAUGAGUUUGCUCCAUGUACUCGGUUUCGGUCUGAAGGUGGGGCAUCUACUAUGGGUGCUAUGUUACUGGGUCGUGUCCUUGAUUUCCAAGAAUUGGUUGGUUUUUGGUGGUGAAAUGACCAAGGCUGGUUUUCUUGGCGAUGGAGGCAAAAUGUCACUGAAUUGGUUGGAGAAGGUAUUGGGGAAUGCUUACAAGAUCCACCACAGCCCUAACAACCAGCAAGCUGGGUCUAAGAGAUUCAGGAAGACUUGGUGGAGGAAGUUUUUGUUCAUAUGGGUCAUCGGUUGGAUCAUCUUUUCGCUCUGGAUCUUCUGGUACUUGAGCUCGCAGGCCGCAGAGAAGAGGAGAGAGACCCUCGGUAGCAUGUGCGAUGAAAGAGCUAGAAUGUUGCAGGACCAGUUUAAUGUCAGCAUGAACCAUGUCCAAGCCAUGUCCAUUCUGAUCUCCACUUUCCACCAUGGCAAGGACCCUUCCGCUAUUGAUCAGAGGACCUUCGCAAGGUACACGGAAAGAACUGCCUUUGAGAGGCCUCUCACAAGUUUUGUCGCCUAUGCCGUUAGAGUGCUCCAUUCUGACAGGGAAGAGUUUGAGAAGGCACAAGGUUGGAAAAUUAAGAGGAUGGAUACCCUUGAAGAAACCCCAGUUCCCAAGGAUGACUAUGAUCUUGAAGGACAGGAACCGUCCCCAGUUCAGGAAGAAUACGCGCCAGUCAUCUUUGCACAAGAUACCAUUUCACAUGUUGUUUCUCUUGAUAUGCUUUCUGGAAAGGAAGACCGUGAAAAUGUUUUACGUGCAAGAUCUUCUGGAAAAGGGGUCUUGACGGCUCCAUUUAGGUUAAUUAAAACAAGCAGCCUUGGAGUUAUAUUGACCUUUGCCGUAUACAAUAAGGAUCUGCCACCAAAUGCCACUCCUGAGGAGAGAAUUGAGGCAACUGACGGGUACCUUGGCGGGGUCUUCCAUAUUGAAUCACUAGUAGAGAAGUUGCUUCAACAACUUGCGAGCAAGCAGACAAUUGUUGUGAAUGUAUAUGACACCACCAAUUGGUCACAUCCAAUCAGCAUGUAUGGUUCAGAUGUAUCGGAAGAUUUUCUAGCGCAUGUCAGUACUCUCAAUUUUGGAGAUCCGUUCAGGAAGCAUGAGAUGCGCUGCAGAUUCAAACAAAAAGCACCAUGGCCAUGGCUUGCAAUAACUACGUCAAUUGGCAUUCUUGUGAUUGCGUUGCUUGUUGGGCAUAUUUUCCACGCAACAGUGAAUCGAAUUGCGAAAGUUGAAGAUGACUACCAUAAGAUGAUGGAACUUAAAAAGCGAGCGGAGGCAGCUGAUGUGGCAAAGUCGCAGUUUCUUGCUACUGUUUCGCAUGAGAUCAGAACCCCGAUGAAUGGAGUUCUAGGAAUGUUGCAUAUGUUGAUGGACACAGAUCUAGAUGAAACUCAACAAGAUUAUGUUAGAACUGCACAGGACAGUGGAAAAGCUUUGGUUUCACUUAUAAAUGAGGUCUUGGACCAAGCGAAGAUCGAAUCUGGUAAGAUUGAGAUUGAGGCUGUGCAGUUUGAUCUAAGGGCCAUAUUGGAUGAUGUCUUGUCCCUCUUCUCCGGGAAAUCUCAAGAAAAAGGAGUGGAGCUAGCAGCUUACAUUUCUGAACAUGUUCCGGAGAUGUUGAUUGGUGAUCCGGGGAGAUUUCGGCAGAUCAUCACAAAUCUUAUGGGCAACUCAAUUAAAUUCACAGAGAAAGGGCAUAUCCUGGUCACAGUCCAUCUUGUUCAUGAGGUGAUAAACUCAAUUGAUGCUGAGAUGGAAGCAGCGACAGGGAGUACGCUGAGCGGCUUCCCAGUACCAGACAGACGACUGAGCUGGGAAAAAUUUAGGACAUUCAGCCAGGAAGGGCCUGUGUCUCCAGUGCCAACAUCCUUCUCUAACCCAAUCAAUCUCAUUAUUUCAGUGGAGGAUACAGGGAUAGGUAUUCCUACAGAGGCUCAAUCCCGCGUUUUCACUCCUUUCAUGCAAGUGCGCCCAUCAAUUUCUCGAACACAUGGAGGCACGGGUAUUGGGCUAAGCAUAAGCAAAUGUCUGGUUGGCCUCAUGAAUGGGGAGAUUGGAUUCGUAAGCAUACCCCAGGUAGGAUCCACCUUUACCUUUACUGCAGUUUUCGAUGAUGGCUGUUCUAUCUCAAAAGAGUGCAAGGGCCAGCAAGUGAAAGGACGAGGUGACUCUGGCGCCUCCUCAGAGUUUCAUGGUAUGAAAGCACUGGUAGUUGACACAAGAUCUGUCCGUGCCAACGUAUCAAAGUAUCAUAUCCAGAGGCUUGGUAUUCAUGUUGAAGUAGUUGCAGACUUGAACCAGUGCCUCCACGCCAUUCAAAGUGGGAAUGCCAGAACAGAUAUCGUGCUCUUGGAAUGGGAAAUUUGGCACAAGGACUCUGGUUUGUCGGCUAUCUUUUUGGAUAAAUUGAGGGACAUGAAGCCAGGGGUAUCUCCAUGGCUGUUUCUUCUGUCUAAUUCUAUCGGCUCUAGUAGGAUGAGUGGUGCAACUUCAGAUGCUACUGGUCCAUUCGUGAUCAUGAAGCCUCUAAGGGCCGGUAUGCUGGCUGCGUCUUUACAGCGAGUCAUGGGAGUCGGAAACCGAAUAAGUUGCUCUAAUGGGGAGUCUCCAAGUCUGUAUCUCCGCAACCUUCUCCGCGGCAGAAAAAUCCUAAUCGUGGAUGACAACAAAGUAAACCUCAGAGUGGCUGAGGGAGCUUUGAAGAAAUAUGGAGCUGAUGUGGUUUGUACAGAAAGCGGGGAAAAAGCAAUUGCUUUGCUUAGACCACUGCAUAAUUUUGAUGCCUGCUUCAUGGAUAUCCAGAUGCCAGGAAUGGAUGGAUUUGAAGCUACAAGGAGAAUUCGACUGAUGGAAAAAACUCUGAGCGAGGAAUUCCCACUUGGAGAGUCAUCCUCAGAGCCACGUCAAAAUAUCUCGAAUUUCCACCUACCAAUCUUGGCCAUGACUGCAGAUGUGAUUCACGCUACUCAUGAAGAAUGCACAAAGUAUGGAAUGGAUGGAUAUGUUUCAAAGCCAUUUGAAGCGGAACAACUUUUUAGGGAAGUUUCGCGCUUUUUCCCAGUCAUCAUUGAAUCGAAACUUGUAGAGAGGCCACCAUAGAAGGCUACUUGUUUUGGUGAGCAGAAAUCUUGGUUGUUGAGGCACUAUGGCAGCCUUCCGGUGAACUUUGAAAUUCUUUAACAAGAGUGCGUCUUGUCACGGGAGUGUGUAUAUAAAGAAGCUAAGGUCACCCGCUGGAGUUGAGUUUUCAUCGAUUUCCCUACGAGUGGCGUCUUGUUUCAAAACCACUUCAAUUAUUUAUCUGUACAGCUGAUCUAAACCGUUUGCAAGACUACGGUUGGUAAUUAGGCAAUCUGAAGUUCGCCAUUGAACUCCGGAUCCAUGGCUGCUUGGAAACGGUGCAAGAAUUUCUCUGACAUAGAUGUAUAUCUGUAGACUAGCACAUUGUGUACAUGCAUUUAGCCUUAGAGAUCGUAGCCAGAAGGUUUGGUUAGACCGCAUUCCCUUAGAGACAGAGCAUUCCAUGUACAUUAGUCGAAUAAAGAACAUCAGUAUUCACAUUCAUGUUUACCCCCACAAUCAAUUUUGUUUGAAGCAUGUAAAGGGUUGAGGCCAUAACUGAUGUAUAGUACAAUGUCUCUCUUCGUCGGCAUUUUGUCCUUUUAGCUAGUUUGUUGGAACCGAUUCGAUGUAAUCAGAUUGCUUUGUGUGAGCAAGUACACUGUACACAUAAAUCAGAGGCAGAGUUAAAGAAAUUUUUU
Molecule: RNA transcript, 4532 nt
Organism: Syzygium oleosum
Lineage: Eukaryota; Viridiplantae; Streptophyta; Magnoliopsida; Myrtales; Myrtaceae
Gene name: histidine kinase 3-like
Exons: 11
Source: RefSeq, a predicted model, not a curated record